CGGACGGGUGAGUAACACGUGGAUAACCUACCUAUAAGACUGGGAUAACUUCGGGAAACCGGAGCUAAUACCGGAUAAUAUAUUGAACCGCAUGGUUCAAUAGUGAAAGACGGUUUUGCUGUCACUUAUAGAUGGAUCCGCGCCGCAUUAGCUAGUUGGUAAGGUAACGGCUUACCAAGGCAACUAUGCGUAGCCGACCUGAGAGGGUGAUCGGCCACACUGGAACUGAGACACGGUCCAGACUCCUACGGGAGGCAGCAGCG
RNAcentral lists this ribosomal RNA (263 nucleotides) under uncultured Staphylococcus sp. RNAcentral describes it as "partial 16S ribosomal RNA". It matches the Rfam family "Bacterial small subunit ribosomal RNA", at positions 99 to 356 of the family's 1533-position model. The record is from RNAcentral. Lineage: Bacteria; Bacillati; Bacillota; Bacilli; Caryophanales; Staphylococcaceae.